UGCGGGAUCGUCUAACGGUAGGACAACGGAUUCUGGAUCCGUUUAUCUAGGUUCGAAUCCUAGUCCCGCAGCAA
This 74-nucleotide transfer RNA is filed under the name Candidatus Curtissbacteria bacterium RIFCSPHIGHO2_02_FULL_42_15. Its description in RNAcentral is "tRNA-Gln". It matches the Rfam family "tRNA". From Rfam's summary of the family: Transfer RNA (tRNA) molecules are approximately 80 nucleotides in length. Their secondary structure includes four short double-helical elements and three loops (D, anti-codon, and T loops). Lineage: Bacteria; Candidatus Curtissiibacteriota. The record is from RNAcentral. RNAcentral also lists the same sequence under 1 other name.